RNAcentral lists this ribosomal RNA (157 nucleotides) under Aspergillus amstelodami. RNAcentral describes it as "5.8S rRNA". It matches the Rfam family "5.8S ribosomal RNA". Rfam says of the family: 5.8S ribosomal RNA (5.8S rRNA) is a component of the large subunit of the eukaryotic ribosome. Lineage: Eukaryota; Fungi; Ascomycota; Eurotiomycetes; Eurotiales; Aspergillaceae. The record is from RNAcentral.
AAACUUUCAACAACGGAUCUCUUGGUUCCGGCAUCGAUGAAGAACGCAGCCGAAAUGCGAUAAUUAAUGUGAAUUGCAGAAUUCAGUGAAUCAUCGAGUCUUUGAACGCACAUUGCGCCCCCUGGUAUUCCGGGGGGCAUGCCUGUCCGAGCGUCAU